RNAcentral lists this ribosomal RNA (429 nucleotides) under Actinomycetes bacterium. RNAcentral describes it as "Actinobacteria bacterium partial 16S ribosomal RNA". It matches the Rfam family "Bacterial small subunit ribosomal RNA", at positions 355 to 776 of the family's 1533-position model. The record is from RNAcentral. Lineage: Bacteria; Bacillati; Actinomycetota; Actinomycetes.
UAGGGAAUCUUCCGCAAUGGGCGAAAGCUUGACGGAGCAACGCCGCGUGAGUGAUGAAGGUCUUCGGAUCGUAAAACUCUGUUAUUCGGGAAGAACAAAUGUGUAAGUAACUAUGCACGUCUUGACGGUACCUAAUCAGAAAGCCACGGCUAACUACGUGCCAGCAGCCGCGGUAAUACGUAGGUGGCAAGCGUUAUCCGGAAUUAUUGGGCGUAAAGCGCGCGUAGGCGGUUUUUUAAGUCUGAUGUGAAAGCCCACGGCUCAACCGUGGAGGGUCAUUGGAAACUGGAAAACUUGAGUGCAGAAGAGGAAAGUGGAAUUCCAUGUGUAGCGGUGAAAUGCGCAGAGAUAUGGAGGAACACCAGUGGCGAAGGCGACUUUCUGGUCUGUAACUGACGCUGAUGUGCGAAAGCGUGGGGAUCAAACAGG